RNAcentral lists this ribosomal RNA (459 nucleotides) under uncultured bacterium. RNAcentral describes it as "partial 16S ribosomal RNA". It matches the Rfam family "Bacterial small subunit ribosomal RNA", at positions 338 to 795 of the family's 1533-position model. The record is from RNAcentral.
CCUACGGGAGGCUGCAGUGAGGAAUAUUGGUCAAUGGUCGGGAGACUGAACCAGCCAAGCCGCGUGAGGGAGGAAGGUACAGAGUAUCGUAAACCUCUUUUGUCAGGGAACAAAGGCGGGGACGUGUCCCCGGAUGAGUGUACCUGAAGAAAAAGCAUCGGCUAACUCCGUGCCAGCAGCCGCGGUAAUACGGAGGAUGCGAGCGUUAUCCGGAUUUAUUGGGUUUAAAGGGUGCGCAGGCGGUCUGUUAAGUCAGCGGUCAAAGCCCGGGGCUCAACCCCGGCCCGCCGUUGAAACUGGCAGUCUAGAGUUGGAGAGAAGUAUGCGGAAUGCGCGGUGUAGCGGUGAAAUGCAUAGAUAUCGCGCAGAACUCCGAUUGCGAAGGCAGCAUGCCGGCUCCACACUGACGCUGAGGCACGAAAGCGUGGGUAUCGAACAGGAUUAGAUACCCUGGUAGUC